UACGAAGGGAGCUAGCGUUGUUCGGAAUCACUGGGCGUAACGCGCACGUAGGCGGAUGUGUCAGUCAGGGGUGAAAUCCCGGAGCUCAACUUCGGAACUGCCUUUGAUACAGCACGUCUUGAGUCCGAUAGAGGUGGGUGGAAUUCCUAGUGUAGAGGUGAAAUUCGUAGAUAUUAGGAAGAACACCGGUGGCGAAGGCGGCCCACUGGAUCGGUACUGACGCUGAGGUGCGAAAGCGUGGGGAGCAAACAGG
Molecule: ribosomal RNA, 253 nt
Filed under: uncultured bacterium
Lineage: Bacteria
Description: partial 16S ribosomal RNA
Rfam family: Bacterial small subunit ribosomal RNA
Source: RNAcentral